Molecule: ribosomal RNA, 476 nt
Filed under: uncultured bacterium
Lineage: Bacteria
Description: SSU rRNA
Rfam family: Bacterial small subunit ribosomal RNA
Source: RNAcentral
AGAAUCAACGCUGGCGGCGUGCCUAACACAUGCAAGUCGAACGAGAAAGUGGAGCAAUCCAUGAGUAAAGUGGCGACCGGGUGAGUAACACGUGACCAAUCUACCCUUGAGUGGGGGAUAACCUCGGGAAACCGGGGCUAAUACCGCAUAAUAUCCUUGGAACGGAAGUACUGGGGAUCAAAGGAGCAAUUCGCUUAAGGAGGAGGUCGCGGCUGAUUAGCUAGUUGGCGGGGUAAUGGCCCACCAAGGCUUAGAUCGGUAGCCGGCCUGAGAGGGCGCACGGCCACACUGGAACUGAAACACGGUCCAGACUCCUACGGGAGGCAGCAGUGGGGAAUUUUGCGCAAUGGGGGAAACCCUGACGCAGCAACGCCGCGUGGAGGAUGAAGUCCCUUGGGACGUAAACUCCUUUCGACCCGGACGAUAAUGACGGUACGGGUGGAAGAAGCCCCGGCUAACUUCGUGCCAGCAGCCGC